Molecule: non-coding RNA, 536 nt
Organism: Epinephelus lanceolatus (giant grouper)
Lineage: Eukaryota; Metazoa; Chordata; Actinopteri; Perciformes; Serranidae
Source: RefSeq, a predicted model, not a curated record
UAAAACAAAAUAAAAGCUCUGUGCUGGAAAUUCACUGUACUUACUGCAACCCAAUUUUGGGCCCUACACUCCCACAGUUCACCUCCACAGGUGCUUUCACUUGUUUCACCUGACUGAGACCUUUAAAGACCACGUGGGCGUGAAUGUGCUCACUCUCCUGUUGGCUUUGUUGCACCUGUUGGGGACAAAUGACACCUCACCCGGCCUUCAUUUGACUUCAGCCUGACCAGCUGAAGCUCUCAACUCCGUGACCCGAGGACCUUAAGGUGCUGCUGUCACCCUCUCUGAGGUCACAGGAGCUGCAGUGUGCACCAAGAGAACAGUGACCUCUACUGCAUUGUGUGUAGGUUGUGAUCCAGUUCCAUAGAUGCAAGUUCAGCCUAAUGAUCCUCUCUGCAGUAUUUACGAUCCUCUGGAGACCCUCAGUCAUUUAUUUCAUCAUUUACACCUGUGCUUUUUUUCUCAGAAUGUCCUUUGUGGGCAGGAAAUACUGAAAUUAUGAGUUAUUAUGAUCAUGAAGCUAAAUAAAUAAAUAA